Non-coding RNA from Struthio camelus australis, 487 nucleotides. The record is from RefSeq and is a predicted model, not a curated record. Lineage: Eukaryota; Metazoa; Chordata; Aves; Struthioniformes; Struthionidae.
UGGCUGGGUUGUGUUGAGUGGGCUUCAUUUGUUGGUUUGGGAUAAACAGGUAAUGUGCGGCCGGUCUGCACAAAACCCUUUCCCUGUGCCUGAGCGGUUAAUGUUAUUCCCUAACUAUUUCGGCAGGAUGUUAAAAUUCCGUAACUAUUUCUGCGAGAGACUGGAUGCGAUAAAGGCUGCUGAAGUAAAAUAAAGGCUUAUCCCUGUCGAUUAAAAGAAUAAAUGAAGCUUCACUUCUGCUUCUUGUCAAGGCGGAUUUUUAAAAUACUUCAGUUGUCUUCGUACUGCCUCAGUAUAAGGUUCUAAGCAAUGUUAAGUGUACUUGUGUGGCUCUGCAUACCCAGCCCUUUUUGGGAGGGUUAGCACACUGCCAGUUCAGCUCUCUGAAGUCACUUUGAUGGUGACAAGGCUGUUGCAAGAGGAGGGCAGCAUGGCUGAUGUGCCCGAGAGCAAGACAGCAGGGAGCGAGCAGGACUGUCCCUUUCAG